UUGCCUACGGGGGGCAGCAGUGAGGAAUAUUGGUCAAUGGACGAGAGUCUGAACCAGCCAAGUAGCGUGAAGGAUGACUGCCCUAUGGGUUGUAAACUUCUUUUAUAUGGGAAUGAAGUGAGCCACGUGUGGCUUUUUGUAUGUACCAUACGAAUAAGGAUCGGCUAACUCCGUGCCAGCAGCCGCGGUAAUACGGAGGAUCCGAGCGUUAUCCGGAUUUAUUGGGUUUAAAGGGAGCGUAGAUGGGUUGUUAAGUCAGUUGUGAAAGUUUGCGGCUCAACCGUAAAAUUGCAAUUGAUACUGGC
Molecule: ribosomal RNA, 305 nt
Filed under: uncultured bacterium
Lineage: Bacteria
Description: bacterial SSU rRNA
Rfam family: Bacterial small subunit ribosomal RNA
Source: RNAcentral